GUAGGGUGCAAGCGUUAUCCGGAAUCAUUGGGCGUAAAGAGCUCGUAGGCGGUUCAGCAAGUCGGCUGUGAAAUCCCGAGGCUUAACCUCGGAACUGCAGUCGAUACUGCUGUGACUAGAGUCCGGUAGAGGAGAAUGGAAUUCCCGGUGUAGCGGUGAAAUGCGCAGAUACCGGGAGGAACACCAGUAGCGAAGGCGGUUCUCUGGGCCGGUACUGACGCUGAGGAGCGAAAGCGUGGGUAGCAAACAGGAUUAGAUACCCUGGUAGUCCACGCCGUAAACGUUGGACACUAGGUGUGGCGUUCCGACCAACGGGUGCCCGUGCCGAAGCUAACGCAUUAAGUGUCCCCGCCUGGGGAGUACGGCCGCAAGGCUA
RNAcentral lists this ribosomal RNA (376 nucleotides) under uncultured organism. Its description in RNAcentral is "partial 16S ribosomal RNA". It matches the Rfam family "Bacterial small subunit ribosomal RNA", at positions 527 to 896 of the family's 1533-position model. The record is from RNAcentral.